Molecule: long non-coding RNA, 325 nt
Organism: Prionailurus viverrinus (fishing cat)
Lineage: Eukaryota; Metazoa; Chordata; Mammalia; Carnivora; Felidae
Exons: 4
Source: RefSeq, a predicted model, not a curated record
GCCUGGGAAAGCUCGCACUCCAAUGUAGCUGUGUCUCCCUCGGUCACCUCUAGGUCCUGCGGCCCCCUCACAAUGGUCACUGGGGCCUCUGGGAGGGGGAGAAGGAAGACACACUUGGGCACAGGGCUAUUGUUCCUGAAGACCCUUGAAGUACGGAUCAGCCCCAUUCUUGAGAAAACUUGGCUCAGAGAGACAAAGCCAACUGGGACACGUGAAAUGGAAUGCAAAAUCCACACGGACUUCUAGGGACCAAACCUCGAACGUGGAGCCGGGCACUUGUGGCUGUGCCCCCUGCUCGGGCAGUCACGGUCCCCGCAUCCUCCAG